This is a long non-coding RNA of Myotis brandtii (Brandt's bat), 1315 nucleotides long. RefSeq lists it as uncharacterized. The transcript has 3 exons. NCBI's taxonomy places the organism in Eukaryota, Metazoa, Chordata, Mammalia, Chiroptera, Vespertilionidae. The record is from RefSeq and is a predicted model, not a curated record.
UGUUCUGUUGCUAUAUGACAAUUUGCUGGUUUUUAAGGUUUGUAUCUAAAGGAAGUAUAUGAUUUCCCCAUAAUCUGUGUCUUAAAUGUUCAUAUUUUUCUUUUAGCACCUAGCAAAGUAGUAGUAAGGUAGCAGACUCCUUGUUCAUCUAUAAUAAUAAAAGCAUAUUAUGCUAAUUAGACCGGACGACCUUUUGGACGAAGCCGGAGCUGCAAGAGAAGCCCGGGUCCCGGGUGCCAGAGGGAAGCUGGUGCCGGCAGCCGGGUGAAGGAAGGCCUACUCUUGCACAAAUUUCAUGCAUCGGGCCUCUAGUUGUUAAAAUAAACUCAAAUUUAUUGAUAUUUACUCAAUUAAACAUUCAAAUUUCUUCCACUGAUAUAAAACUAAGUUUUAAGUAAAGGUAACUUGGCUCUAAUCCAAUGGGCCAGAUUAGAAUUAAAUAAUAAAAUUGGGCGCUAAGUUUAAUUUUGGGGAAUCACAAUAAAUCCAUUCUCCUAAGGGUACUCAGGCUGGUGCCAUUGUAUUCAUCUAGAUCCCCUCACAUUUAAUGAAGAAAUGAUCCUUUCUGAUCCACAAUCUGCUGAGUUUUGUCAGGUAUCGUCACGGGGGUGCCUGGAGUUACAAUGAGCACAUGAGUCAUAUUUUCUGUUACUCCAGGGAGAAGGGCAGAUCUUACCCACAAAUCCAGAAGGCAGCCUGCAGCACCUGGGGCUCCAUCCAGGAUGAAUCAGUGGGCACAGUCAGGCUGUCUCCUAUUCCGGUAACUGGAAUAUCAGGAUUCUCCAAAGAAUCAUGUGAUGACAAGGCAGCACACAGCUGCCCUCUGCAGUGCUGUUGUCCUUCACUCUUGCUGGAAGCCACCUGACCACUGCCAGGAAGAAGAAUGCAAAACAUUCCCAGGAGCGGCUGUGACGUCAGUACCACAUUCCACUCUCCGCGGUCAGGACUGUGGGGAAACUCCAGCCUCCAGCGAACCCUUCAGCUGAGAUAACAGCUGAGCCUGCACUAAAUCACACUGAGAACUUCCCAAUGUUAUGCUUUAAAGAUGGAUAUUUUUUAUAAAAAGGAGGGAGGGCAGGAACAGAGCUGGCUUUUUAAGGCAUAUUUACUGUUAAUCUUCAAAAGUGCUUUUUUGUUUGCUACGUGGAGGGAAAACAAGGAAAAAUGAUUUACCAACAGUCAUCAGCAUACCAAUCCCUUUGGGCCAGUGAUUUUCAACCAGGGUGCUGCAAGAAUUUUUAAAACAUGCAAUACCUGACUAUUUAGUCCGGGGCACUGAGCUCUUUGCCCUUAGAUUUGUAAAAUAAAACAAUGA